This 226-nucleotide ribosomal RNA is filed under the name uncultured bacterium. RNAcentral describes it as "partial 16S ribosomal RNA". It matches the Rfam family "Bacterial small subunit ribosomal RNA", at positions 524 to 749 of the family's 1533-position model. The record is from RNAcentral.
UACGAAGGGUGCAAGCGUUACUCGGAAUUACUGGGCGUAAAGCGUGCGUAGGUGGUGAGUUAAGUCUGUCGUGAAAGCCCCGGGCUCAACCUGGGAAUGGCGAUGGAUACUGGCUCGCUAGAGUGCGGUAGAGGAGAGUGGAAUUCCCGGUGUAGCAGUGAAAUGCGUAGAGAUCGGGAGGAACAUCAGUUGCGAAGGCGGCUCUCUGGACCAGCACUGACGCUGA